This 462-nucleotide ribosomal RNA is filed under the name uncultured bacterium. RNAcentral's name for it is "bacterial SSU rRNA". It matches the Rfam family "Bacterial small subunit ribosomal RNA", at positions 29 to 524 of the family's 1533-position model. The record is from RNAcentral.
AACGAACGCUGGCGGCAGGCUUAACACAUGCAAGUCGAACGGGAUCCAGCCUUCGGGUUGGUGAGAGUGGCGGACGGGUGAGUAACGCGUGGGAACCUGCCCAUUGGUCUGGGAUAACUGCGGGAAACUGCAGCUAAUACCGGAUGUACCCGAGAGGGGAAAGAUUUAUCGCCGAUGGAGGGGCCCGCGUCAGAUUAGGUAGUUGGUGAGGUAACGGCUCACCAAGCCUACGAUCUGUAGCUGGUCUGAGAGGAUGAUCAGCCACACUGGGACUGAGAUACGGCCCAGACUCCUACGGGAGGCAGCAGUGGGGAAUAUGGGACAAUGGGGGCAACCCUGAUCCAGCAAUGCCGCGUGAGUGAUGAAGGCCUUAGGGUUGUAAAAGCUCUUUUUACCAGGGACGAUGAUGACGGUACCUGGAGAAUAAGCCCCGGCUAACUUCGUGCCAGCAGCCGCGGUAAU